AUAGCGUAUAUUAAAGUUGUUGCAGUUAAAAAGCUCGUAGUUGAACCUUGGGCCUGGCUGGCCGGUCCGCCUCACCGCGUGCACUGGUCCGGCCGGGCCUUUCCUUCUGGGGAGCCGCAUGCCCUUCACUGGGUGUGUCGGGGAACCAGGACUUUUACUUUGAAAAAAUUAGAGUGUUCAAAGCAGGCCUAUGCUCGAAUACAUUAGCAUGGAAUAAUAGAAUAGGACGUGUGGUUCUAUUUUGUUGGUUUCUAGAGUCGCCGUAAUGAUUAAUAGGGAUAGUUGGGGGCAUUAGUAUUCAGUUGCUAGAGGUGAAAUUCUUGGAUUUACUGAAGACUAACUACUG
RNAcentral lists this ribosomal RNA (346 nucleotides) under uncultured eukaryote. RNAcentral describes it as "SSU rRNA". It matches the Rfam family "Eukaryotic small subunit ribosomal RNA", at positions 594 to 945 of the family's 1831-position model. The record is from RNAcentral.